Molecule: ribosomal RNA, 979 nt
Filed under: uncultured bacterium
Lineage: Bacteria
Description: bacterial SSU rRNA
Rfam family: Bacterial small subunit ribosomal RNA
Source: RNAcentral
UGGCGGCGAGCGGCGGACGGGUGAGUAAUGCAUCGGAACGUACCUAGUCGUGGGGGAUAACUAUCCGAAAGGAUGGCUAAUACCGCAUACGUCCUGAGGGAGAAAGCAGGGGAUCGCAAGACCUUGCGCGAUUAGAGCGGCCGAUGUCGGAUUAGCUAGUUGGUGGGGUAAAGGCCUACCAAGGCAAUGAUCCGUAGCUGGUCUGAGAGGAUGAUCAGCCACACUGGGACUGAGACACGGGCCACGCUCCUACGGGAGGCAGCAGUGGGGAAUAUUGGACAAUGGGUGAAAGCCUGAUCCAGCGACACCGCGUGGAGGAUGAAGGUCUUCGGAUUGUAAACUCCUUUCAGGGAUGAUGAAGUUCUGAUAAAGUCAGAAUUGACAGUAAUCCCAGAAGAAGUCACGGCUAGCUACGUGCCAGCAGCCGCGGUAAUACGUAGGUGGCUAGCGUUACUCGGAAUUACUAGGUGUAAAGCGCGGGUAGGUGGUUUUGUAAGUUGGAAGUGAAAGCUCCAAUAAAAUUGGAGAGGUCUUUCAAAACUGCUUAACUUGAGUAUAGCAAGGGGAACCGGAAUUCCCGGUGUAGCGGUGAAAUGCGUAAAUAUCGGGAGGAACACCGAUGGCGAAAGCGGGUUCCUGGGCUAUUACUGACACUGAGCCGCGAAGACGUGGGGAGCAAACAGGAUUAGAUACCCUGGUAGUCCACGUAGUAAACGAUGGAAACUAGAUAUGGGAGGUAUCGACCCCUUCCGUGUCGCAGCUAACGCAUUAAGUUUCCCACCUGGGAAGUACGGCCGCAAGGCUGAAACUCAAAAGAAUUGACGGGGGCCCGCACAAGCGGUGGAGCAUGUGGUUUAAUUCGACGCAACGCGAAAAACCUUACCCGGGCUUGAAGUGCCGGUGGUACCCUGACGAAAGUCUUGGGGACCCGCAAGGGAGCCGGUAGAGGUGCUGCAUGGUUGUCGUCAGCUCGUGUCGU